UGGGGAAUAUUGCACAAUGGGCGAAAGCCUGAUGCAGCGACGCCGCGUGAGGGAUGACGGCCUUCGGGUUGUAAACCUCUUUCAGCAGGGAAGAAGCGAAAGUGACGGUACCUGCAGAAGAAGCGCCGGCUAACUACGUGCCAGCAGCCGCGGUAAUACGUAGGGCGCAAGCGUUGUCCGGAAUUAUUGGGCGUAAAGAGCUCGUAGGCGGCUAGUCGCGUCUGCUGUGAAAACUCGAGGCUCAACCUCGGGCUUGCAGUGGGUACGGGCUGACUAGAGUGCGGUAGGGGUGACUGGAAUUCCUGGUGUAGCGGUGGAAUGCGCAGAUAUCAGGAGGAACACCGAUGGCGAAGGCAGGUCACUGGGCCGCAACUGACGCUGAGGAGCUAAAGCAUGGGGAGCGAACAGGAUUAGAUACCCUGGUAGUCCAUGCCGUAAACGUUGGGCACUAGGUGUGGGGUCCAUUUCCACGGAUUCCGUGCCGCAGCAAACGCAUUAAGUGCCCCGCCUGGGGAGUACGGCCGCAAGGCUAAAACUUAAAGGAAUUG
This 548-nucleotide ribosomal RNA is filed under the name uncultured bacterium. RNAcentral describes it as "partial 16S ribosomal RNA". It matches the Rfam family "Bacterial small subunit ribosomal RNA", at positions 355 to 912 of the family's 1533-position model. The record is from RNAcentral.